This 167-nucleotide ribosomal RNA is filed under the name uncultured rumen bacterium. Its description in RNAcentral is "partial 16S ribosomal RNA". It matches the Rfam family "Bacterial small subunit ribosomal RNA", at positions 340 to 524 of the family's 1533-position model. The record is from RNAcentral.
UACGGGAGGCAGCAGUGGAGAAUCUUGCACAAUGGGCGAAAGCCUGAUGCAGCAACGCCGCGUGAAGGAUGAAGGCCCUUGGGUCGUAAACUUCUGUUCUAAGGGAAGAUAAUGACGGUACCUUAGGAGCAAGUCCCGGCUAACUACGUGCCAGCAGCCGCGGUAAU